GCAGUCGAGCGGUAGAGAGAAGCUUGCUUCUCUUGAGAGCGGCGGACGGGUGAGUAAUGCCUAGGAAUCUGCCUGGUAGUGGGGGAUAACGUUCGGAAACGGACGCUAAUACCGCAUACGUCCUACGGGAGAAAGCAGGGGACCUUCGGGCCUUGCGCUAUCAGAUGAGCCUAGGUCGGAUUAGCUAGUUGGUGGGGUAAUGGCUCACCAAGGCGACGAUCCGUAACUGGUCUGAGAGGAUGAUCAGUCACACUGGAACUGAGACACGGUCCAGACUCCUACGGGAGGCAGCAGUGGGGAAUAUUGGACAAUGGGCGAAAGCCUGAUCCAGCCAUGCCGCGUGUGUGAAGAAGGUCUUCGGAUUGUAAAGCACUUUAAGUUGGGAGGAAGGGUUGUAGAUUAAUACUCUGCAAUUUUGACGUUACCGACAGAAUAAGCACCGGCUAACUCUGUGCCAGCAGCCGCGGUAAUACAGAGGGUGCAAGCGUUAAUCGGAAUUACUGGGCGUAAAGCGCGCGUAGGUGGUUUGUUAAGUUGGAUGUGAAAUCCCCGGGCUCAACCUGGGAACUGCAUUCAAAACUGACUGACUAGAGUAUGGUAGAGGGUGGUGGAAUUUCCUGUGUAGCGGUGAAAUGCGUAGAUAUAGGAAGGAACACCAGUGGCGAAGGCGACCACCUGGACUAAUACUGACACUGAGGUGC
Molecule: ribosomal RNA, 701 nt
Filed under: Pseudomonas sp. Y4_296_3
Lineage: Bacteria; Pseudomonadati; Pseudomonadota; Gammaproteobacteria; Pseudomonadales; Pseudomonadaceae
Description: bacterial SSU rRNA
Rfam family: Bacterial small subunit ribosomal RNA
Source: RNAcentral